This 253-nucleotide ribosomal RNA is filed under the name uncultured bacterium. Its description in RNAcentral is "partial 16S ribosomal RNA". It matches the Rfam family "Bacterial small subunit ribosomal RNA", at positions 524 to 776 of the family's 1533-position model. The record is from RNAcentral.
UACGAAGGGGGCUAGCGUUGUUCGGAAUUACUGGGCGUAAAGCGCACGUAGGCGGGUCGUUAAGUCAGGGGUGAAAUCCCGGAGCUCAACUCCGGAACUGCCUUUGAUACUGGCGAUCUUGAGAUCGGAAGAGGUGAGUGGAAUUCCCAGUGUAGAGGUGAAAUUCGUAGAUAUUGGGAAGAACACCAGUGGCGAAGGCGGCUCACUGGCCCGGUACUGACGCUGAGGUGCGAAAGCGUGGGGAGCAAACAGG